GUUGACGGAGACCCUAGUGGUAGCGCGACCUCUGUGGGAGCUGGCAGCCUCUCCCAGAGGGCAGAGUUUCGCGCUGUGCUUACACAAUUGGUUGUAAAUUCUGCUGAGCUCUAUGGGUCCAUCUGGAUGAAAAGGUCUGUGUAAACGCAAGAUCAUUAUCAUUAUCAGCUGUCCCAGUUGGAGCCCAGUGAUUCGCAAGCCCACAAUCAAUGGGGUCUUCCCAACAAUUCCAUUCUACAUGGCUGGAGAAAAGGUGCAAUUACAUGGAGCUGCACAUCCUCUGGAGAGAGCGCCCUUUGUGUCUGUUCCCAGAGUGAUGGAGACAGGAAUCUCCCAGGCCCCUCAUCAGCCACAUGGAGAGAGGAUCAAGAACAACCUGGAUCCGGGAGAUCUUUUCUCUCUGAAGUUGACUGCCCACUGCACACAGAAACUAAGGGAGGCUCCCCACCUGGGCAGCUCUGAGCUGGAGACCAUGAAGCCCCACUUCAUUCUUUCCGCACGAAUCUCUGGCACUUGUGCUGGUGACCUUGGGAGAAGACUGUAUAUGAGUUAACUCUCUGAUCUCAAGGAAAAGAUGAGACAUACGGGCACAGAUAUCAGCACCAAGCUCAUCUCAUUUCGGUCAAUUUCCAAGUUGACCUACAGACCUGUGAGAACUAAAAACAAAAUUGUGAUUUAUUAUGUAGCAAUAGUUAACUGAUACACAGGACUUAAGUUGAUCACAGUUACUCACCUACUAAGUUGUACAGUCAUAUUUAAAAAAU
Molecule: long non-coding RNA, 764 nt
Filed under: Oryctolagus cuniculus (rabbit)
Lineage: Eukaryota; Metazoa; Chordata; Mammalia; Lagomorpha; Leporidae
Description: lncRNA (ENSOCUG00000039672.1)
Source: RNAcentral